AGUGAACGCUGGCGGUAGGCCUAACACAUGCAAGUCGAACGGCAGCACAGUAAGAGCUUGCUCUUACGGGUGGCGAGUGGCGGACGGUUGAGGAAUACAUCGGAAUCUACUUUUUCGUGGGGGAUAACGCAGGGAAACUUACGCUAAUACCGCAUACGACCUACGGGUGAAAGCAGGGGAUCUUCUGACCUUGCGCGAGUGAAUGAGCCGAUGUCGGAUUAGCUAGUUGGCGGGGUAAAGGCGCACCAAGGCGACGAUCCGUAGCUGGUCUGAGAGGAUGAUCAGACACACUGGAACUGAGACACGGUCCAGACUCCUACGGGAGGCAGCAGUGGGGAAUAUUGGACAAUGGGCGCAAGCCUGAUCCAGCCAUACCGCGUGAGUGAAGAAGGCCUUCGGGUUGUAAAGCCCUUUUGUUGGGAAAGAAGAGCAGCAGGUUAAUACCCCGCUGUUCUGACGGUACCCAAAGAAUAAGCACCGGCUAACUUCGUG
RNAcentral lists this ribosomal RNA (492 nucleotides) under uncultured bacterium. Its description in RNAcentral is "partial 16S ribosomal RNA". It matches the Rfam family "Bacterial small subunit ribosomal RNA", at positions 29 to 507 of the family's 1533-position model. The record is from RNAcentral.